Long non-coding RNA from Hypanus sabinus (Atlantic stingray), 778 nucleotides. RefSeq lists it as uncharacterized. The transcript is spliced from 3 exons. NCBI's taxonomy places the organism in Eukaryota, Metazoa, Chordata, Chondrichthyes, Myliobatiformes, Dasyatidae. The record is from RefSeq and is a predicted model, not a curated record.
UACUUCAUGUGGGGAGCGCAGUGGUUAGCACAACGCUUUUAGUAAGUACAGGCUGCCCGAGUCCAGUUCCUGCCGCUGCCAGUGAGGCGCUGGUACACCUUCCUGGUGACUGCGUGCGUUUCCGUCGGCACCUCCGGUUUCCUCCCAUAGUCCAAAGACCUGCCGGCACAAUCCACUUAGGCAUCUGUUGAGGUGGUCGUGGAGAACUUAGACUGCAACAAUGGAUGACUGGAGGCAUUGGCUGGAACUAAUAGCCAUGGCCCAUACCCCUGACGUCAUGGCACUUCAGAACACUGAGCUAGACUCUGGGGCCGUUACAGGACCAAAGGAGAUGCAGCUAUUCUAGCAGGAAUGACUGAACUAAGACACCACGUGUCCUCUGUCUGAGAGAUGCUGCCAGACCUUCUGAGCUCCUCCAGCUUUUUAAGUGUUGCCCCAGGUUCCAGCAUCUGCAGUCUUUAGUGCCUCCGAGAGAGACUCCUCUGUAUGAAUUAAUAUUGGAGGGAAGAUGAGCAAAUGGAGCCCCAUGGUUGAUCUGGAGUAGCACAUCCUGAUGCCCGAAAGAAGACCAGCCACCAGCUGCAGGGUGAAAUGUUGAACAAUACAGAUUCCCCCCCAGGUUAUCAACACACAAGCAUUUGGGAGACCGGCAGGAUGCCAGCACCCUGUGCUGUGUGAGAACUUGGUCCACGGUCACACUUCCAACUUGUGAACUGUUACUGUUACAAACAUAUUACGCUGUAAUAACCUGGGGGAUGGGUUCUGAAUGUAUUAAAAU